UUCUUGACUGUGAACUGGACCUAGUGACUCACUUCCAAAGGACAGAGUAUGGAAAAGGAAAAAGAAUAAUUUUACAGUGGAGAAAACUGGCAGACACCACCUUAACCCAGCGAUCAAGGUUAACAUCACCAGCAAUAAAACAUGUUGACAUCAUGUACCCCUGACAUGAUGUGACAAGAAGGGCACGUCACCCUGCACUCUGUUGUAUUCAUAACUCCAGACUAAUCAUGAGAAAACACCAGACAAACUCAAAUUUAGGGCCAUUCUACAAAAUACUUGACCAGUACUCUUCAAAAGUGUCAAGGUCAUGGAAAGCAAGGAAAGACUGGCAACAGUGAUAGAUCGGAGGAGACUAAGGAGACGUGACAACUAAGUGCAAAGUGGUAUCUCGUAUCAGAUCUGGAACAGGACAGUAGCGGAUAAACUGGGGCAAUUCAAAUGAGGCUGUGCUUUAGGUACGAGGAUGACCAACCAUCCUGAAGGGGCACUUUGGGUGUGGGACUUCCAGUCCUAAAAUUGGCACAGCCCUGGUUUGUCUGGAACUAGGGGCUUCCUGGUACAAGAGGCUUUCGGUGCUGAAACCAGCGAAGUCUCAGGAAACCUGGAUGACUUGGUUAUCCCAGCAACACACACUACCGUACAAGGUUCGCUUCCUAGUUUUGAGUAGCAUAUCACAGUCAUGUAAAUGGUAACAUUAGGGCAAGCUGGUGAAGGGGACACAAGAACACUCUGUGCCAUCCUUCCAACUCUUCAGUAAAUCUAAAAUUAUUUCAAAAUAAAAAGUUUAAAACAAAACAAUUGAAUAAUAAAAACAGAGAGGAGGAGGCAAGAGGUGCGAGGAAGUAUAAAGUACCCUAAUAGCCUCACUUUUCAUGGCAAAACGUUGAUAGAUGCAGCCAAGCCCCAGGAGGCAACCAGAAAUGGAAAAGUCUGGAAGGACUCCCCUCUCUGUCCAUGCAUGGUACGUGGGCGGAUCUCUCAGCCCUUGAUGUCCCAGCAUCCCUGCUCCAGUCUCCUUCCUCCCAGCUUUCCUUCUCUCCGUGCACACGCCCACCCCAGCGCUCCAUGACCCCUCCUCCCCGCGCUCAGUGCUAAGCAGGCAGUCUCUGAGUCCCAGGGUAAAUCCCAAGUGGAGCAAAGCUGAGUCUUGUGUCCACCUCUGACUCCAUCAGUUAUCGCUGGUGGGUGGGACACAGCCCACUGCCCCUCCGUCAGCAGAGGGAGAAACCGGAUGAUAGGCAGGCAAGUGGGUGCCCAAGUCACUGAUGCUUAUGGUAGGGUAAAAGGAAAACAAUGCAAACAAUACUAAAGAAAAAGUAACGUUGUUGAGCACCUCCGUGUUGCCUCUUGACAAUUAAACAAAGCUGCUUAAAUUUUUUUUAGGGUACAAACCCAUGACUGCUCAAGCUUCUAGAGGCAAUCCACAUUUCUUGGCUCAUGGCUCCUUCCUCCAUCUUUGAAGCCAGCAAUGACAAGCCAGGUCCUCCUCACACCACCGUCUCUCUGGUUCUCUGCAGCCAGGAAUGGGUCUUUGUUUUUAAGGACGUGUUAGAUUGAACCCACCUGGAUGAUCCAGGCAUCGCUCUCCACCUCAAGGUCCAUUAAUCACGUCUGCAAAGCUCUUUUGCCAUAUAAAGCAACCUAUUCAUAGGUUAAGGGAGAUUAGGGCGUGGGUCUCUUUG
This 1682-nucleotide long non-coding RNA is filed under the name Equus caballus (horse). RNAcentral describes it as "lncRNA (ENSECAG00000052892.1)". Lineage: Eukaryota; Metazoa; Chordata; Mammalia; Perissodactyla; Equidae. The record is from RNAcentral.